AAUCUAGGAGGCAGGUGCUCACUUGUCCUCUUCCAUGCUUAGAAGAUACAGGGAGGAGGCCAUAGUGGCAACUGUCACCAUGAUU
Molecule: microRNA precursor, 85 nt
Filed under: Camelus bactrianus (Bactrian camel)
Lineage: Eukaryota; Metazoa; Chordata; Mammalia; Artiodactyla; Camelidae
Also listed under: 2 other names
Description: mir-764 microRNA precursor family
Rfam family: mir-764 microRNA precursor family
Source: Rfam by way of RNAcentral